GACGAACGCUGGCGGCGUGCCUAAUACAUGCAAGUAGAACGCACAGUUUAUACCGUAGCUUGCUACACCAUAGACUGUGAGUUGCGAACGGGUGAGUAACGCGUAGGUAACCUGCCUGGUAGCGGGGGAUAACUAUUGGAAACGAUAGCUAAUACCGCAUAAUAUUAAUUAUUGCAUGAUAAUUAAUUGAAAGGUGCAAUUGCACCACUACCAGAUGGACCUGCGUUGUAUUAGCUAGUAGGUGAGGUAACGGCUCACCUAGGCGACGAUACAUAGCCGACCUGAGAUGAUGAUCGGCCGCACUGGGACUGAGACACGGCCCAGACGCCUACGGGAGGCAGCAGUAGGGCAUCGUCGGCAAGGGACGAAAGUCUGACCGAGCAACGCCGCGUGAGUGAGGAAGGUUGUCGGAUCGUAAAGCUCUGUUGUAAGAGAAGAACGGGUGUGAGAGUGGAAAGUUCACACUGUGACGGUAUCUUACCAGAAAGGGACGGCUAACUACGUG
This 505-nucleotide ribosomal RNA is filed under the name uncultured bacterium. RNAcentral describes it as "partial 16S ribosomal RNA". It matches the Rfam family "Bacterial small subunit ribosomal RNA", at positions 28 to 507 of the family's 1533-position model. The record is from RNAcentral.